RNAcentral lists this long non-coding RNA (1526 nucleotides) under Papio anubis (olive baboon). RNAcentral's name for it is "lncRNA (ENSPANG00000038930.1)". Lineage: Eukaryota; Metazoa; Chordata; Mammalia; Primates; Cercopithecidae. The record is from RNAcentral.
CCGGCGUGAAGACUUCGGCCCCCGCAUUUGUGGACCGGAGAACAUCACCCGAGAGCGCCGGGCGCGACUUCCCUGGCCCCCCACACCUGAGGACCAGAGAGUGUGCAUAUUUGCAAUAAAAGACUGCCACUUUCUUACGUACUUUGGCCUCAUGUUUAAUUAGCUCUCCUAAAUUAAGUUACAUUAAAUUAAAUUAAAACAGUUGGUGCUGCAACCCAACCUAGGAGGAGACCCUUCCUCAACAUUCCCUAGGGGUCUAACGAACCUCCUCCCCAGCGAACCGGCUCCCAACCCAACCAGCCACGAACACCGAACAAGUGUUCCAGCCUCCCACUGGUGCCACUCUGAGAAUUUCUCCUUCGAACUGACAGCAAGAACAUCUGGAGUCUUACUCUAUUUUCUCUCAGGGUUCAACCUACUCAACAUUGUUGAGUUUCCCUAUAUUUCUUAUAAGGUAAGAAGGGUCCAGACAUUUUAAUAUAUCCCGCUGCAAGAGUAAAAUAGCCCCAGGUUCUGGGAUGGGGCAGCCUAGGUUCCAAUCCUAGCUCUGAAACCACUACCUGGGCAACCUUGGGUAGGUUUCUUAACCUGUGUAAAUCUCAGUUUCUUCACGGUACACAGUAAUAUGUUACAUAGAGAUGAGAGGAUUAAACAAAAGAAUCCAGAUGUCCCCUAUGCGUAAUGCAGAGUAAUUACUAGAUAUUAACUGUGUGCUAGUUACUGUUUAUAGCAUUAUUAAAAGUGCUUGUCAGCCAUGCUACAAGCUGAUUACCAAAAGAAAAUUUUGCUUAUUUUCUUUGUAUAUUUCAUACUGAAGGAGUAAAAGCUGUCACACAUUAUUUAUUUAUUUGUUUAUUUAGUGACAGGGUUUCACUGAGUUGCCCAGACUGGAGUGCCCUGGCGUGAUCACAGCUUGUUCAGCCUAGACGUCCCAGGCUCAAGCAAGUCUCCUGCCUCAGGCUACUGGGUAGCCGGGACCACAGGUGCAUGCCACUGUGCCUGCUAAUUAUUUUAUUUUUUGUACAGACAAGGUCUCACUUUGUUGCCUAGACUGGUCUCAAACUCCUGGCCUCAAGUGAUCCUCUGGCCUCGGCCCCCCAAAAUGUUGGGAUUACAGGUGUGAGCCACUGUGCCUGGACCUCAUUACACACUUAAUAAAAUAGAUUGCAUAAUGCCGCUGGUCACUCAUCAGCCACUAACUUUGGCAAUUCACUUCUCUGACAGUCUGUUUCCUUCUUUUCUAGCUAGGCCAAUCACUGCUGCCUCCCAAGAUAUCCUGGAUGAAAGAUGUUUGGGAAAGGUCUGAAGUACUCUCUGGAGUAAAAGGUGUUACUGUUGGGAUGCAUGACAAUGAGCUUCUAUGGGCAGAUAUUAAUUUGAUUUGAACUUGGGAUAGGUGUUGAGAAAAGCAGUUCUGCUCAAUUUUUAAAUCCUAGGAUACUCUGUAAGCAUUCAUAAUGUUGAUUUAUUUCUUUGAGAAACCAUCUAGAAAUCUUGAAACUCUCUUAUUUGUCUCUUUCCCUCUC